GUGGGUGGCAAGCGUUGUCCGGAAUUAUUGGGCGUAAAGCGCGCGCAGGCGGUUCUUUAAGUCUGAUGUGAAAGCCCACGGCUCAACCGUGGAGGGUCAUUGGAAACUGGAGAACUUGAGUACAGAAGAGGAAAGCGGAAUUCCACGUGUAGCGGUGAAAUGCGUAGAGAUGAGGAGGAACACCAGUGGCGAAGGCGGCUUUCUGGUCUGUAACUGACGCUGAGGCGCGAAAGCGUGGGGAGCAAACAGGGAUUAGAUACCCUGGUAGUCCACGCCGUAAACGAUGAGUGCUAAGUGUUAGGGGGGUUUCCGCCCCCUUAGUGCUGCAGCUAACGCAUUAAGCACUCCGCCUGGGGAGUACGGCCGCAAGGCUG
Molecule: ribosomal RNA, 374 nt
Filed under: uncultured organism
Description: partial 16S ribosomal RNA
Rfam family: Bacterial small subunit ribosomal RNA
Source: RNAcentral